CCCAGUUCGGAUCGCAGGCUGCAACCCGCCUGCGUGAAGUUGGAAUCGCUAGUAAUCGCGGAUCAGCAUGCCGCGGUGAAUACGUUCCCGGGCCUUGUACACACCGCCCGUCACACCAUGAGAGUCGGGAACACCCGAAGUCCGUAGCCUAACCGCAAGGGGGGCGCGGCCGAAGGUGGGUUCGAUAAUUGGGGUGAAGUCGUAACAAGGUAUC
This 214-nucleotide ribosomal RNA is filed under the name uncultured bacterium. Its description in RNAcentral is "partial 16S ribosomal RNA". It matches the Rfam family "Bacterial small subunit ribosomal RNA", at positions 1287 to 1500 of the family's 1533-position model. The record is from RNAcentral.